UUGGAGGGCAAGUCUGGUGCCAGCAGCCGCGGUAAUUCCAGCUCCAAUAGCGUAUAUUAAAGUUGUUGCAGUUAAAAAGCUCGUAGUUGAAUUUCGGGAUUAGUACGUCGGUCGUGCCUUAGGUACGUACUGGUGUUACUGGUUCCUACCUUCUGACGAACCAUCAUGUCAUUAAUUUGGUGUGGUGGGGAAUCAGGACAGUUACUUUGAAAAAAUUAGAGUGUUUAAAGCAGGCUCGCGCUUGAAUACAUUAGCAUGGAAUAAUGAAAUAGGUACG
Molecule: ribosomal RNA, 277 nt
Filed under: uncultured Glomus
Lineage: Eukaryota; Fungi; Glomeromycota; Glomeromycetes; Glomerales; Glomeraceae
Description: partial 18S ribosomal RNA
Rfam family: Eukaryotic small subunit ribosomal RNA
Source: RNAcentral